GUACAAAAAUCAUAUUUUUGUUUUUUUGGAAGGAUCCGCUGUGCGCUGAUCAUUUCAUAUGAAAUCUACUGUAACACAUUUUUAAAAAUUUUAUAAUCAGUACCCGCAUAAUUUUCUCGAAAUUCUGUUCAGACAGUGUUACUGAACUGCUUGACCAGUGAAUUCAUCGUGAUCAACAAUCCUUUAUCAGAAAAUGAAAAUGUGGAAGGAGUCUUUCUUCUGAAUGCACAUUUGUUUAUUCAUGGUCCUGCCUCUUGGUGCCAACUGGAUAUGAGAGGAAACGUUGAAAAUAGUCGUAAAAGUCCCGAAAAUCCAAAUGAGUGGCCAUUACUAUCAUUGGAAUACACGACUUUAGACACUUAUCAGUUCCUCUUUUGGUCCGGAUCGUUAGACGAUUCAAGAAUGUUACUCCACUCAGCAAAGUAUGGAGCUGAUUUCGAUCCUCUACAUUUUCACAGGUGAUGUACUUACCACUCGCAUUUUCUCUUGCCAUCUUACAUCAGUGGCGUGGCGUAUUUUGCGAUGCAUCGAUUGAUCUGCCAUUUAAACCUAUGAAAAAGGAUCGAUAAACAGGGUGUUUGCGACGAAAACCUUAAUAAUCGAUUCUUUACCGUAGCUUCAAAUGGGGACUUAUCAAUACUCGAUCAUUCACGCUUCGCCACUGUCUUACAUUUUCUUCUUUUUAACUACAUAGAGGCGAUGAAACUAAAAAAUUACAUAUGUGGAAUUACAACGUCGCAGAAUUCCUGUCACACUUUAUUUUUAAAAAAACUUCUAGGAUUCUUCUUCUCCUUGCGAAGAAAAUUCUGUGAGAACCUCAAGGAAUGAUGUGAUUUGUUUUCUCCUUUAAAAAAAAAAAAAAACAAAAAAUAAAUAAAAUGAGGGCGGAAAUUUUGAAAACAGCACCGGAAUAUAUGUAACCUGAGAGUUUCACCGUUGAAUUAUACAAAAGUCAAACUGCAAUUGGAAGAAUAAGUACUCAAUUUUUUCCUUUCUUUUUUUCAUCCCUAUCCUCUUAGCUAUGUAUUCAAUUUCUCAAAGAAACUAUUGGUGAUUUUAAGAUUCAGAACUUUUAAGAUAGCCAUUUCUGAAGACAGCAGGGCUCUGCUGAAAUAGGUAUGCUUUUUUAAAAGCGUCAAAUAAAAUAAAAUGUUCAAUUCAGAGUAGGUAAUAGUGUUUUCCAUGAAAUUUGAUUUAUGUAAUUCGUGUGAGUGCUGUGAUACGCCCACAUGUUUUUAAUACUUUUAGGAAGGCUCACAGCAUAGCGUAAGUGAAUAUACAGGGUGAUCCAAAGGUCGCGCACCACCCCUUUAACCCCUAAUGUUAUUGCCUCUUUUUUUAAAUGACUCCUCUAAAGUUUUGUUGAUUCCCAAAAGUUGUUUCCUUUGACCUAGGAGCACUCACAAAAUUUCAAGUCUCCAUCUCAGUUUGUUCAAAAGUUACCGGGCUCAUGCUUGGUGCGAGUGGUGUGAUACAUUUGGAUCACCAUUAUAUGCUAGCUCCCCGAUCUGUUUUAAAUAUUAAUUAAUUUAUACGCUCUCAUUGUUUGAUCCCAGUGCCAUAGUUUUAACGAGUGAUAAAACGAAACUUUUCUGUUGCUCAGAAAAAGGAAGGUAUACAAUUUCCGAAUUCCAGGCGUCUGAAGAUUCCAAGAGGUGGGAAUUCGUCAAAUCUUUACCGUAUCCUUGUAAGUAACGUUGCGUCGUUUACAAACUCCUCUAAAACUUAAAAAUUUUACUCAAAGAGUUAGUUAUUUCUAAAAAUGUUUGCGUUUAAAAAAUGCAAUUGGUUGUUGAUUUUUUCUGGUCGGCGGUGAUGAAAAAAAAUCGCCUUCAAUAAACAAAGUAUGCAACAUGAAUAGUCGCACAUCGACGAAAAUGGCUUCAGCCUUUUCGUAAUUUUUUGCCUACGCCGUUCGUGAAUAAUUCGGAAUUUAAAUGCAUGAAUAAUAGACGAGUGUGCUAGCCUUUCUGUGUUUAUUAUACUGUCCAUUAAAAUGU
RNAcentral lists this long non-coding RNA (2000 nucleotides) under Bemisia tabaci. RNAcentral describes it as "lncRNA ENSSSA1UGG006302". Lineage: Eukaryota; Metazoa; Arthropoda; Insecta; Hemiptera; Aleyrodidae. The record is from RNAcentral.